RNAcentral lists this ribosomal RNA (1001 nucleotides) under Rhizopus microsporus var. chinensis. RNAcentral's name for it is "LSU rRNA". It matches the Rfam family "Eukaryotic large subunit ribosomal RNA", at positions 38 to 964 of the family's 3401-position model. The record is from RNAcentral. Lineage: Eukaryota; Fungi; Mucoromycota; Mucoromycetes; Mucorales; Rhizopodaceae.
GCAUAUCAAUAAGCGGAAGGAAAAGAAAAUAACAAUGAUUUCCUUUAGUAAACGGCGAAGUGAACAGGAAAAAGCUCAAAGUUGGAACCUGUUUGGCCUAGCUAAACCGGAUUGUAAACUGUAGAAGUGUUUUCCCAGGCAAGCCGGACCGAUAAGUCCUUUGGAACAGGGCAUCAUAGAGGGUGAGAAUCCCGUCUUCGGUCUGAGCAUUUGCCUUUUGCGAUACACUUUCAAAGAGUCAGGUUGUUUGGGAAUGCAGCCUAAAUUGGGUGGUAAAUCUCACCUAAAGCUAAAUAUUGGCGAGAAACCGAUAGCGAACAAGUACCGUGAGGGAAAGAUGAAAAGAACUUUGAAAAGAGAGUUAAACAGUAUGUGAAAUUGUUAAAAGGGAACCGUUUGGAGCCAGACUGGCUUGUCUGUAAUCAGUCUAAGCUUCGGCUUGGAUGCACUUGCAGGCUAUGCCUGCCAACGACAAUUUGGCUUGAGGGAAAAAACUAAGGGAAAUGUGGCCCAUCCGCGGGUGUUAUAGUCCCUUAGAAAAUACCUUGGGCUGGAUUGAGGUACGCAGCGAAUGCUAUUUGGCGAGUUGGCUGGGAAUAUUUUCUGAGGUGCUUUGGUACUGAGGUUGAUAUUCCUAGUUACACUUCUAUUCGCUUAGGUUGUUGGCUUAAUGACUCUAAAUGACCCGUCUUGAAACACGGACCAAGGAGUCCACCAUUAGUGCAAGUGUUUGGGUGCCAAACCCAUACGCGUAAGGAAACUGAUUGAUACGAAUCCGCAAGGAGGCAGUAUCGUCCGGCGCUGACGUUUUAUACUGAAAUUGACCGAGACAAAGCACUAAUGAUGGGACCCGAAAGAUGGUGAACUAUGCCUGAAUAGGGUGAAGCCAGAGGAAACUCUGGUGGAGGCUCGUAGCGAUUCUGACGUGCAAAUCGAUCGUCAAAUUUGGGUAUAGGGGGCGAAAGACUAAUCGAAACCAUCUAGUAGCUGGGUUCCUGCGA